This 486-nucleotide ribosomal RNA is filed under the name Clostridiales bacterium enrichment culture clone G3_C5. RNAcentral's name for it is "bacterial SSU rRNA". It matches the Rfam family "Bacterial small subunit ribosomal RNA", at positions 28 to 508 of the family's 1533-position model. The record is from RNAcentral. Lineage: Bacteria; Bacillati; Bacillota; Clostridia; Eubacteriales.
GACGAACGCUGGCGGCGUGCUUAACACAUGCAAGUCGAACGGGAAACCGGGAACCGAAGUUUUCGGAUGGAGGGGAACGGUUUUUAGUGGCGGACGGGUGAGUAACGCGUGAGUGACCUGUCCUGCAGAGGGGGAUAACAACGGGAAACCGUUGCUAAUACCGCAUGAGACCACGGUAUCGCAUGGUAGAGUGGUAAAAGGGGAAAUCCGCUGCAGGAGGGGCUCGCGUCCCAUUAGAUAGUUGGUGAGGUAACGGCUCACCAAGUCAGCGAUGGGUAGCCGGACUGAGAGGUUGAACGGCCACACUGGGACUGAGACACGGCCCAGACUCCUACGGGAGGCAGCAGUGGGGAAUAUUGGGCAAUGGGCGAAAGCCUGACCCAGCAACGCCGCGUGAAGGAAGAAGGUCUUCGGAUUGUAAACUUCUGUCAUUGGGGACGAAAAAAAUGACGGUACCCGAUGAGGAAGCCCCGGCUAACUACGUGC